Molecule: ribosomal RNA, 119 nt
Filed under: Trichobilharzia regenti
Lineage: Eukaryota; Metazoa; Platyhelminthes; Trematoda; Strigeidida; Schistosomatidae
Source: RNAcentral
UUCGGAGACCAUACCACGUUGAAAGCACCGGUUCUCGUCCGAUCAUCGAAGCUAAGCAACGUUGGACCCGGUUAGUACUUGCAUGGGUGACCGGCUGGGAAUACCGUGUGUUGCCGGCU